Molecule: ribosomal RNA, 398 nt
Filed under: uncultured bacterium
Lineage: Bacteria
Description: bacterial SSU rRNA
Rfam family: Bacterial small subunit ribosomal RNA
Source: RNAcentral
GCCACGGCUAACUACGUGCCAGCAGCCGCGGUAAUACGUAGGUGGCGAGCGUUAUCCGGAUUUACUGGGUGUAAAGGGCGUGUAGACGGAUGGGUAAGUUGGCUGUUUAACCUGGGGGCUAAACCCCCAGCCUGCAACCGAAACUGCUGAUCUUGAGUACCAGAGGGGAAAGCGGAAUUCCUAGUGGAGCGGUAAAAUGCGUAGAGAUCAGGAAGAAUACCAGUGGCGAAAGCGACGGUCUGGAUACCAACUGACGCUGAGGUACGAAAGCGUGGGGAGCAAACAGGAUCAGAUACCCUGGUAGUCCACGCUGUAAACGAUGAGUGCUAGAUGUCGGGUGUCAAAGCCCGGUAUCGCCGUUAACACAUUAAGCACUCCGCCUGGGGAGUACGUACGCA